RNAcentral lists this long non-coding RNA (392 nucleotides) under Homo sapiens (human). RNAcentral's name for it is "HSALNT0403540". The record is from RNAcentral. Lineage: Eukaryota; Metazoa; Chordata; Mammalia; Primates; Hominidae.
CCCGGCCGACGGCCCACCUGGGCUUCGUGAACAGUGGGAGGGAGAGUCUGGGGCCAGGAGAGGGACGGUGCAGGAUCAGGGAAAGUUCCAGAAAAGUCUAAGAUCAAGAUGCAGAUAGGAUUGGAAUCCUCAGAGGUCUCCUUGGCUUGCAGAUGGCUGCACCCUUGCUAAGUCCUCACACGUUCUUUCCUCUGCACAGAACCGUGUGCUAACUCCUCAUCAAAGACCAGAAGUAGAUCCUGAAUUGUAUUCAUUCUCAUCUCUUUCUACCUCCUCCAAGACAGAAGGACAUGAUUAACUUCUUUAUCUCAAUGUCAGCCUUCAAUAGCUACAAAAGUCUAAACUGUAAAUAGCGUUGAAGCUUUGCAUAAUAAAAUUCUUUUCCCCAGUGA